This 228-nucleotide non-coding RNA is filed under the name Metabacillus litoralis. RNAcentral describes it as "Bacillus litoralis T-box sequence". It matches the Rfam family "T-box leader". Rfam says of the family: Uncharged tRNA acts as the effector for transcription antitermination of genes in the T-box leader family. T-boxes are found upstream of many aminoacyl-tRNA synthetase genes and some amino acid biosynthetic genes usually in Gram-positive bacteria. The anticodon of a specific tRNA base pairs to a specifier sequence within the T-box motif, and the NCCA acceptor tail of the tRNA base pairs to a conserved bulge in the T-box antiterminator hairpin. The record is from RNAcentral. Lineage: Bacteria; Bacillati; Bacillota; Bacilli; Caryophanales; Bacillaceae.
UAAUGAACGGAGAUAAGGAGUAGUAAUUUGCGAAAUAUCGUUCAGAGAGUUGACGGCUGGUGUGAGUCAACCGAUUUUUGCUGAUGAACUCGCCUUUGAGUUACAAAUGUGAAAGCCUUAUUUGGGAAAGUAAUAUUUGUCGUCUAUCCACGUUACGGAUGUCAAAGUGGGCAUAUCGCUAUGCCAAAGUUGGGUGGUACCACGGGAAUUAAACCUCUCGUCCCUGUU